Molecule: ribosomal RNA, 484 nt
Filed under: uncultured bacterium
Lineage: Bacteria
Description: partial 16S ribosomal RNA
Rfam family: Bacterial small subunit ribosomal RNA
Source: RNAcentral
AUCGAACGCUGGCGGCAGGCCUAACACAUGCAAGUCGAGCGGACGAUGCGAGCUUGCUCCUGGAUUCAGCGGCGGCCGGGUGAGUCAUGCCUAUGAAUCUGCCUUGUCGCGGGGGAUAACGUCCGGAAACGGGCGCUAAUAUUGCAUACGUCCAGUGGGCGCCAGUGGGGGAUCUUCGGACUCCACGCCAUCUGAUGAGCCUAGGUCGGAGUAGAUAGUUGGUGGGGUAAAGGCCUACCAAGGCGUCGAUCCUUAACUGGUCUGAGAGGAUGAUCAGGCACACUGGAAGUGAGGCUGGUCCGAGACACCGACGGGGGGAAGCGGUGGGGAAUAUUGGGCGAUGGAGGAGAGCCGAAUCCUGCGAUGCCGCGUGUAGGAUGAAGGACUUCGGAUGGGAGAGCACUGUAAGUUGGAGGGAAGGACAGUAAUUUAAUACCGGGCUGUAUUGACGUUACCAGCAGAAGAAGCACCGGCUAACUUCGUG